AGUAGUAUAAUAAACAUCCAAAGUACAAAUGCUAAACCAGAUACAUAGGUGGUCUCUCUAUACAAGGUACUAACAUAACUCUCUCUCACUCAACUACAACAAAAGGAGAGUGAACUACCAAAACGUAAAAAGAACGCUCCUCGCUAGCUAGCUAAGCGAUCCCCUUGCCGCGAUCCCGUGCCUCCACCGGUGUAGAGGGCUCUGAAAUAAAAC
Molecule: long non-coding RNA, 213 nt
Filed under: Ananas comosus (pineapple)
Lineage: Eukaryota; Viridiplantae; Streptophyta; Magnoliopsida; Poales; Bromeliaceae
Description: long non-coding RNA (ACOM_LNC033295)
Source: RNAcentral